AUGAGGACUCAUGACACACAAAGAGUCAUUAGGGUAAGAUUUUUAUACCAUCACUGUGUAGGCUUAUCAAACUACUACUCACACAAGUCACGUUCGAUCUGUGGCAGGCGCUAGGCAUCGAAACACCAUGAACCGUACAACUAUGUGCCAGUUAGUUGUGGGUCAGUAUUGGGGUUGAACUCGUGACCACCCGGUCAAGAACCCUACUAAAGUGGAUAAACCUUACCACCUCUAUCCAAACCAAUAGAUCUGGGAAUCAUUGGCCGAAAAGAAAGAUCUUAUUUAUGAAAUGUCUAGCAUUUGACGAGAAGGAUGACAAAUGAUUCAUGGUUGGAUCAUGCAUGGAUUGACCAUGCGUGGUAUGGCCACUUUUGCAAAGUUACUUUACAUCUUUGUUUAAUUAGUCAAUCAAACCACACUUAAAAUCAACCUUUUGUAAAGAAAAAGACACUUAGUUACACACUCUCUAAAGUGGUCUUAAAUUUCUUUCAUACUCCAUUAUCAAGAUAAAGGUAAAGGAGCAAUAGAUUCAAGAGAAGCAAGUAGUUUUUAAAAAUUCUUUACUCAUUUGU
RNAcentral lists this long non-coding RNA (572 nucleotides) under Helianthus annuus (common sunflower). RNAcentral's name for it is "hypothetical non coding rna". Lineage: Eukaryota; Viridiplantae; Streptophyta; Magnoliopsida; Asterales; Asteraceae. The record is from RNAcentral.